UACGUAGGUGGCAAGCGUUGUUCGGAAUUACUGGGCGUAAAGCGCACGUAGGCGGCUUUCUAAGUCGGGGGUGAAAUCCUGGAGCUCAACUCCAGAACUGCCUUCGAUACUGGAAAGCUCGAGUCCGGGAGAGGUGAGUGGAAUUGCGAGUGUAGAGGUGAAAUUCGUAGAUAUUCGCAAGAACACCAGUGGCGAAGGCGGCUCACUGGCCCGAUACUGACGCUGAGGCACGAAAGCGUGGGGAGCAAACAGG
Molecule: ribosomal RNA, 253 nt
Filed under: uncultured bacterium
Lineage: Bacteria
Description: partial 16S ribosomal RNA
Rfam family: Bacterial small subunit ribosomal RNA
Source: RNAcentral